CACAGGCGAUUUUCUCCUUGCAGACUUUAGGCGCCACUGCUCGGUCCGGAAAGGAAAGAGAAACGGCCCAGCGCGGUCGCUUGCUGACUCAGGUCAGGGCUGCGCUGGGCGCCCGCGUGCGUUUUCAAGUCUGCGGCCCGGAGUUCACUGCGAGAACUGGCAUCACCCGUCACCCCGCCCUGGUCUACGGAAAAUGAAAUGUGUUUACUGAUAUAGAAACUGCAUAACGGCGCUGCGGGCUGGGGAAGGCCGAGCUGCCUUCAGGCUUCUGGUCUCCAGCUGCGGGUCACUCACAUCUGCCGCUGUGAAAUGCAGACCCGCGGGGCAGGAAUUCCGAGUACGGGCUGGAGAGGCAUCUGGAAUCUGACUCUCUUGAAACAGCACCGCGGAGGAUUCGGAGCCAGGAAAACUCACAGCUAAGAGGCCAGGAAAAAGCCUCCCAGGGUCCCGCCACUUCAGUGAGGAUCCUAAUUUACACCCCGAGUGUGGCCUCCAUCAAAGACUACAGCGACGUUCGCUUAAAUGAUACAAGGUCAGCGGGGCCCAGGGCGCUGCGGCUCACAGAAUGCGGUGACAGCGAUGCCUCGCGUCCCUUCCCUGACCUUCCCCAAGCAGAAGCGGUGAAGUGUGUUGGUGUUGUGUGAGGCUGGAAUACAGCGGGUGUCAAGAGCAGAGAAUGGAGAAAGGAGGGAAAGAUGGGACGCUGCCAGGUCAAGUAACACAGAACAUGAACUUCUACCUCCAGAUGUGCCAGGGUGUGUCUCUUGGGUACAAGAACAAGGGUUUCAUUUUGUUUUACAAAAUCAAAGUACAAAUC
Rhinopithecus roxellana (golden snub-nosed monkey) is the source of this 817-nucleotide long non-coding RNA. RefSeq lists it as uncharacterized. The record is from RefSeq and is a predicted model, not a curated record. The transcript is spliced from 3 exons. Lineage: Eukaryota; Metazoa; Chordata; Mammalia; Primates; Cercopithecidae.